UGUAAAUUAAAAUUUAAAAGAAAGAUUAACAAAGAUAUAAUGUAGUUUAAAUAGUAAGAGCUCUCCAUAUGCAUUAAGAUGUUCAGGGUUCAAUUCCCCUCCAACAAACUCUUUUUUUUUUUUUUUUUUUUUGGGGAAAAUGGAGUAAAAGGGUUGGCCUGGUUUAAACCCAGCCAGCUUGACCAGUUGCUCACCGGUUACCCGACCAGUUCGCUCAGGUCAACCCCAAUUUUCAAUUGAAACGGGUCUUCUUUUAGAAC
This 260-nucleotide unclassified non-coding RNA is filed under the name Hevea brasiliensis (rubber tree). Lineage: Eukaryota; Viridiplantae; Streptophyta; Magnoliopsida; Malpighiales; Euphorbiaceae. The record is from RNAcentral.